CGUAGGGGGCAAGCGUUGUCCGGAUUUACUGGGCGUAAAGAGCGUGUAGGCGGCCAGACAGGUCUGUUGUGAAAACUGGAGGCUUAACCUCCAGACGUCGACAGAAACCGUCUGGCUAGAGUCCGGAAGAGGAGAGUGGAAUUCCUGGUGUAGCGGUGAAAUGCGCAGAUAUCAGGAAGAACACCAAUGGCGAAGGCAGCUCUCUGGGACGGUACUGACGCUGAGACGCGAAAGCGUGGGGAGCGAACAGGAUUAGAUACCCUGGUAGUCCACGCCGUAAACGAUGGGUGCUAGGUGUGGGAGGUGUCGACUCCUCCCGUGCCGCAGCUAACGCAUUAAGCACCCCGCCUGGGGAGUACGGCCGCAAGGCUA
Molecule: ribosomal RNA, 372 nt
Filed under: uncultured organism
Description: bacterial SSU rRNA
Rfam family: Bacterial small subunit ribosomal RNA
Source: RNAcentral